Molecule: long non-coding RNA, 1030 nt
Filed under: Capsicum annuum
Lineage: Eukaryota; Viridiplantae; Streptophyta; Magnoliopsida; Solanales; Solanaceae
Description: long non-coding RNA (CANN_LNC015469)
Source: RNAcentral
AAAAAAUAGAGGGAGAAAGACAAACAACAAAAAAGCAGAAAUAAUAAAAAGAAGAGGAUUUCUUUGGGUUUGGAGAAUUGAAUUUGGGUUCCGUUUGAAGUUUUCGGUGAUGAUUUUCUCGCAUCAUUACUCAGUUUAAAUCAUCACAGGUUCUUAUUUGAUUCUAUAUCAUUUAUGUUAUGAGUUUUAUCAUGAAAAUCAUGUACGAAAAUAUUUGAAUAAUCUCAAUGCAUUAUUUAAUAUGUAUAUUUGAUUAUGUAAAUAUUUUGUUACCACACAUUAUACUAUUAAUUUACUGAGUGCAUAUAUAUUUGUUCAAUAGAUGUGUUGUGAAUUAGAACUUUGUGUGUUAAUAUAUUCAGUUAAAAAAAUGGGGACAAAAAAUAAAAAUAAAAGAAAGGUAAGAAUAGGCCAUACACAGCCGUAAAACACACACAUGCACGCAUCGAAAAUAAUGAUAGAGUGAACGGAAAGGGCAAAAAUCAGCCCCGGACUAGUUUUUCCAGCGGAGUUUCAUUGGAAUCGUGGCCCCAUCAUGAAAUCCAGCCACCACCAUACCAAUGCCGCCCCAUCUCUUUCGCUGCCUCGCCGAAUUUGACCACCGACGGGAGAGUUUUGAUCAAGAAACACCAUAGCUGCCACUCCAUUUUACCUCUCCCUGUUGCCUCGUCGGAGAUACCCGACCCACCGUUGAACUGUACCACCGCCACUGCCAGUGAACCACAAACCAGUAGUAUCAACGCUACUCUGGCGAAAUACUUCAGAAAAAAACAACGCUGGAUCGUCUUUGUUUUUAUCCCUAAUAAUUUCUAAAAAUUACUUUUUUUUUGUAGAUAUAUAUGGUUGUUGUAUUUCUGGUGUUGCUCCACUGAAAGACCGUUGAAGCAACGCCGAUGAUCUCUUAAUUUAUAGUUUCUUUAUUUUUGGUUACUGAGUUUAUUUUUUAUCAAAUUUUAGAGGUUUUGUAUUAGAGUUAAUUAAAAGAGAUUAAAUUUUGAGGAUAAUAUUAAAUUUAGUAUAAUAUGGGUAG